RNAcentral lists this long non-coding RNA (1532 nucleotides) under Homo sapiens (human). RNAcentral's name for it is "HSALNT0407723". The record is from RNAcentral. Lineage: Eukaryota; Metazoa; Chordata; Mammalia; Primates; Hominidae.
GCGCUAUUGCCUGGGAAACUAAGUCACGUGAGAACCUGGGGACGCUAGGUUCCGGAACCUGACCUGAGCUGGGGCCUGUGCUUCCAGCGGGUGGUGGGGGGCCUGGUGUGCUGGCAUCAAGUAAGCCGACUACCUCGGCAAAGGCUUAGGGACAAGAGACCAGCAGCCUGAACUGGCUGGGGCAUCCGGAAGGCUUAGAUCUUGUGGCCAAGAGUUCAGACCGUGGCGAAGUGGAGAGUGACAUGCAGUUGGAUGGCGGUGACUGCGUGGUCCUGCAACCCUGGUUCCAGUCUGGCAAGCAUUGUAGACCUGGCUGCUGAAGACUGACGGGGCCCAGGGUCCGCUGCCCCCACCGCCAUCACCACCUCGGAACCCAGGGUAACGCUGUCAGUCUUUGAUGAUGUCAGAAGUGGGAUCCAAAGUAGAGCUUAUAAUGACACCUAGGAGUGCUGAGUGACCAAGCAAGGUACCCACCAGGCCGAUUAUGUCCAUUGUUCUCUUGGAGCAGCUGGUCAUCAUGAACCUGAAGAUCAGAUCUUCUGAGAACAUCAGAAAAAGACUUCCCUUGCCAUCCACACUGCAGCAAAACUUCAGGACCUUAAAUGCUGGGUUCAUAAUUUCACAACUGAGAAGGGACCCUCCACACUCUUGGAACUGUACACCUAGACCAAACUAAAAUACAGUCACUCUUGCUAAAUGUAACAUAAUCAAACUAAGACUUUAAGGAAACAAGCAAAUCCUAGAAAAGACCAGGUUUUUGUAUUUUUUUUCCUCCUGUAAACAGUACCUUCCAACAUAAGGAGGUACCCUCUACUCUAACACUUACAAAAAUAAUAAGAAUAAUAACCUGGAGUCCUUGUAAGGUGAAACCUUACAAAACCCACUGCUCUGCUGUUUCCUAGUGGGUUUCAAGAGGAAAUAAGUACUUUUACAGUGGUGAUGGUGAAAUCAAUGACUAACAUUUUGGUCAAUCUCCCACAAUUUAGAGAAUGACCAAAACGGGGGAAUUGUUAAAUCAAGUUUAUCCUAAAUUGAUGGGAUCAAUCAUACUCCAAACCUUGACACUGCACAAUAUACCCAUGUAACAAACCUACACAUGUACCUCCUGAAUCUAAAAUAAAAGUUGAAAUUCUAAAAAAUGAAAUUAUUCUGGAGCUUUAAGAUUCAAUGCCUCUCUGCUGGGUUUUAUACUUGCUUAGAACCUCUUACUUCUUUCUUUCUUUGAUUCAUUUCUCCCUUUUGGAAUGGAAAUGUCUAAACUAUGUGCAUUCCACCAUUUUAUCUCAGAACUAAAUAACUUUUUUUAUAGGCUCAUAACUGGACUUUGGUCUUUUAAGUUGGUGCUGAAACAAGUUAAGACUUUAGAGACUGAUGGAAUUAUUGUAUUUUGUAUUCGAGAAGAACAUGACUUUUAGGGGGCCAGGAACAGAAUGCUAUGGUUUGGGUAUAGUUUGUUCUGUUGAAACUCGUGUUGGAAUUUGAUUUCCAAUGUUGCACUGUUGGGAGGAGGAUUCCAGUGGGAGGCAUUUGAG